Molecule: long non-coding RNA, 3620 nt
Filed under: Homo sapiens (human)
Lineage: Eukaryota; Metazoa; Chordata; Mammalia; Primates; Hominidae
Description: HSALNT0195083
Source: RNAcentral
AAUUGCCGUGGUCACUACUGAAGCAGCUGACCUGCUGGGUGCAGUUAUGGGAGAAAAAAUGGGAGACCACUAAGCAGUUUCUGAUCAAAUAAAGAUUUUUUAAAAGCCAGAACUUCCCAUUAUUUUUGCUUAGCUCUUUGGUAACUUCUAAUUCCUCAUUUUUGUCUCUUCUUAAAAAUUAUCCUCAAAACCACUUCUGUAGAUGAGAAUGAAAUGUUCGCCCUCUUUACAGGUCAAGAAACAGAGGCACGGUAGAGUACCUACUAUGUGCCAGACACUGGGCCUCACUGGAAAAGAGCCCUGUAGGCAGAAGAAACAGUUUGCUCAAAGGCCCUUGGGUGGAAAGGAGAAGUAAGGAGUGGGGUGAGGAGGAUGGCAUAAGGUUAGGUUGGGAUGGAGCAGAAACCCAACACACACGGUCUUAAGGCCACAUGAAGGAUUUUGAACUCUCCCCUGAGUUUAAAAGGAACCCAGUACACAGUUUUGAGAAGUGGAGUGACAAUAAUCAGAUUUGCAUCUUCCCCUUUCUGUGCAUACACCCAGCCUCUCUCUAGGGAUUGGGGGCAGCCUAAGGUGGGAUAGAUGGUAAAAUGCCAGGCACCACCAGCCAUGGCCAUCAAUUUGACUUAUGGGGAGAAAGUGAGCAUGCUAAGAACACAGACUCUAGAUGCAACAUCUGGAUUCAAUCCCAGCUGUGUGAGCUAGGGCACACUUCUGCCUCUCUGGAUCUCAGUUUCUGUUUCUGUAAACUGAGUGGUUGUGGUUCUACUGCCUAGGGUCAUGUGGGGAUUAAAUAUGCCUAAGUUGCUCAGUCAAGUGCCUGGUACCAAGCAGAUGCUCUAAUGCAUAUUGGUCAUUAUCAAUGUUGAUCCCUUUCUGAUUUAUUCAUCAAUUCACCCUGAUAAAGAAGGGGCCUUUGGGGUCAAGAGGCUGUUCUUAUUCAUUAAACGUCAUCCAUAAUAGCAUGUUGUGUCGCCUCCCAGCUGGCUGAAACCGGACAUGGGAAAGAAGGCCAAACACAAGACUCAAAUUAAAAAGAAAACCUUGAAUCCCGAAUUCAAUGAGGUAAGGCUGCCCUAUUCUUUUUCAUGCUCUGGGAUAUUUGCUGUGUGUUAGAGAGGCACAAAUAGCCACAUAGCCAUUAAAUAUGUGGCCACAUAGCCAUUAAAUGCAGCCAUUUGAAAUGAUGAUGUAGAAAAAUAUUUGAAAAAUAUUUGAGAACAUGCUAAGUUGGUUUUUGCCCAAAGUUGUAAAUGAAAAAGGAAGUGACAAUACUGUAUGUUCAGCAUUACUUAGUUAACAAAAAAUUUAUACAUCACUGUGAACACAUGUGGGGGAAUGUUGACAUGGUUAUUCUUGGGUAGUUGGAUUACCGGGAAUUGGGGGUGGGGGUUCUUCUUUGUUUUAGCAAUGAACAUAAAAUGAAUUUUGUAAUUAGGCAGAGAAGCUAUUUUUUAAAAAUCAGAUUGUCUGGGAACAUAUGUACUCAGUCCACUUCAACUGUAUUUAUUUAUUUAUUUAUUUUUGAGACAGAGUCUCACUCUGUGGCCUAGGCUGGAGUGCAGUGGCGUGAUCUUGGCUCACUGCAACCUCCACCUCCCUGGUUCAAGCAAUUCUCCUGCCUCAGCUUCCCGAAUAGCUGCAAUUACAGGUGCCCACCACCAUGCCUGGCUAAUUUUUGUAUUUUUAGUAGAGAUGGGGUUUCACCAUGUUGGUCAGGCUGGUCUCGAACUCCUGAGCUCAAAUGAGCCACCAUCUCAGCCUCCCAAAGUGCUGGAAUUACAGGUGUGAGCCACCGGGCCCGGCCACUUCAACUACUUUUAUUCCUAAGCAAUAAAAAAGGGGAUGCCCCUUCAUAAACUACCAGAGGGGAAGGACUAUGUUCAUGGCCAUUUACCUACAAGGAAACUUGAGCUCUAUUAGAAAAACCUCACCAGCCUUCCCAAUUUCAAGCAGAGAAUUCACUGAAAAGAGGAUGACAGUGCUUUGUUACACAGAGUGUUUGUUGGAAGGGGAUCACGGGACCUGGGGCAGAGGAUCGGCACGGGAAGACCUCCUUGCUCCCAGAAUGCCAGCUCAAGGACCUCUCCUUGGCCCAUAACCCCUAGGACUCGGCCUCUUACCUCCCAAUGCUGUGGGUUCAGAGGGCUCUUACCCACAUGUCUUCCUCUGUUGUAUUCAGGAGUUUUUCUAUGACAUCAAACACAGUGACCUGGCAAAGAAGUCACUGGACAUUUCAGUCUGGGACUAUGACAUCGGCAAGUCCAAUGAUUACAUCGGUGAGUGUUCCUAACUCCAGAGAAAACGCCCUCUUCUGUCCUCCCCAGAACAGGAGAGCCUUAUCCAGGGCUACAGAGAGUUGAGGUCAUUGCUAUUCUUUUGGCAACCUCAUUGUUCAAAUGCUAAAUUGAGACCCAUGAUCUUGACCUUGGUCCAAUUUGGGGAUGUCUUUACAUGAAAAGCCUUACAAAACUUGAUUAUUUGUUGAACAAAUCACCUCCAGUGGGGUAAUUAAAUCACAGGAGAGAUUUGCGUUCUCUGCAGAAAGCAGGGUGCAAAAGAAUUCUUAAUUUAUUUGCAUGUCCAGGAUAAAAUUUUUAAUUUUUUAGUUCCUGUUUGAAUCAUGAGGAAGAAAAUCAAUUAAAGAUGAAGCAGGGGGGUGGGGACUCCAGGCAAGGGACAGAGCCUGAGCUAAGGGGUAAAGACAGGAUUGAGCAGGAUGAUGAACCUUUUUGGAAAUAGACAAUGAGUUCCCAGAAGUAGUGGGAGAUAAGUUUCAGUGAGUAGAAUGGUGAUUUGUAGAAAGCCUUUAAAAAUAGACAGUGAAAUUAUGACUCAGUGGAACAGUAGGGAGCCAUUGCAGGUUCUUGAGGCAGAGAAGGACCGUAAUAAUAAUAACAACAACAGCAGCAACGUUAUAACAACUCUCUAUAGAGUAUGGAUCCCAGGUUGCUGGGGGUCACUGCUUGGUGCAGUUUUUUCCCCAACUACACAUUUGGGUCUAGAACGACCUCUAUUCUGACCACCUGCUCCUAUCUUCCCAUUUAUCCUCCAGGAGGCUGCCAGCUGGGGAUCUCUGCCAAGGGAGAGCGCUUAAAACACUGGUACGAGUGUCUGAAAAAUAAAGACAAGAAGAUAGAGCGCUGGCACCAGCUACAGAAUGAGAACCACGUGUCAAGUGAUUAGGCUAGUGCCCAGGUCCCCAUCUCCAUGUCCCGGGUCCCCCCCAGCCUGCUCUAGCUGCCCACCGCACCCUGAUCUCUCUUCUCUAUGCCUACCUCCCCCCAUACCCUGCUGAUCUCCCUGAGCCUGCCUUUGAGCCCCCGUCACGUUGGGCACUGCUGCCAAAGACUCCCUCCUCCCUGAUGCUGGGAUGUGGGCUCUGAAUACAGCCCCUCUCUCAUCCCUGGGAUGGAGCAAUGGGGAUGGGGUUGGGGAGACGUUUACAAAGAGGUUGAUCAUUUAAUAACCUCUCAGUUUGGGUAAAUUACAAAGGUUCUUCAUCAUUUAGGACUGUUUUUAGACCCUCCUAGCCUUGAACACACACAUGUACACACACACACACACACACACACACACACCCUUUCAUUCCCUGUGUUGUGUCUCUGUAUAUCCCCAGU